GCCAGCAGCCAUAUCAUCCUCCAACUCCCAGCUGGCAGCCCCACUGAAGCUCAGCAGGUGUGAGCCUGGUCAGUACCUGGAUGGGAGACCUUAUGGGCAAAAAUAAGGUUGCUGCUGGAA
RNAcentral lists this ribosomal RNA (120 nucleotides) under Lepisosteus oculatus (spotted gar). The record is from RNAcentral. Lineage: Eukaryota; Metazoa; Chordata; Actinopteri; Semionotiformes; Lepisosteidae.